RNAcentral lists this ribosomal RNA (293 nucleotides) under uncultured prokaryote. Its description in RNAcentral is "partial 16S ribosomal RNA". It matches the Rfam family "Bacterial small subunit ribosomal RNA", at positions 505 to 797 of the family's 1533-position model. The record is from RNAcentral.
GUGCCAGCCGCCGCGGUAAUACGUAGGGUGCGAGCGUUAAUCGGAAUUACUGGGCGUAAAGCGUGCGCAGGCGGUUUUGUAAGACAGGCGUGAAAUCCCCGGGCUCAACCUGGGAAUGGCGCUUGUGACUGCAAGGCUGGAGUGCGGCAGAGGGGGAUGGAAUUCCGCGUGUAGCAGUGAAAUGCGUAGAUAUGCGGAGGAACACCGAUGGCGAAGGCAAUCCCCUGGGCCUGCACUGACGCUCAUGCACGAAAGCGUGGGGAGCAAACAGGAUUAGAUACCCCGGUAGUCCG